This 2558-nucleotide ribosomal RNA is filed under the name Bifidobacterium bifidum ATCC 29521 = JCM 1255 = DSM 20456. Its description in RNAcentral is "bacterial LSU rRNA". It matches the Rfam family "Bacterial large subunit ribosomal RNA", at positions 268 to 2683 of the family's 2925-position model. The record is from RNAcentral. Lineage: Bacteria; Bacillati; Actinomycetota; Actinomycetes; Bifidobacteriales; Bifidobacteriaceae.
GCCAAACCGCGCGCGUGUGACAGGCGCCAGCCGUUGCNCGCGUGGUGUUGAGGGAGCGUGUGUCCGGGUCCUGGCGGGCCCGGCCGGAGUGAUAAAACGGCGUGUGAGGCGAACCGGAUUGAAUGCCGGGCCGCAGAGGGUGAUGGCCCCGUAGCCGAACGCGCGWCGUCUCCGGAUCGUGUUUCCCAAGUAGCGCGGGACUCGUGGAAUCCCGUGUGAAUCCGCCCCGACCGUGGGGUAAGCCUAGAUAUACCUGUCUGACCGAUAGCGAACUAGUACCGUGAGGGAAAGGUGAAAAGCACCCCGGGAGGGGAGUGAAACAGUCUCUGAAACCGUGCGCUUACAAACCGUCGGAGCCUUUCGGGGUGACGGCGUGCCUAUCGAAAAAUGAGUCUGCGAGUCAGUGGCACGUGGCGAGCGUAACCCGUGUGGGGUACGCGUAGCGAAGGCGAGUCUCAAAAGGCGUUUGAGUCGCGUGUCCUGGACCCGAAGCGGGAUGAUCUAGCCCUGAGCAGGUUGAAGCGCGGGUAAGACCGCGUGGAGGACCGAACCCACCUGGGUUGAAAACCGGGGGGAUGACUUGGGGUUAGGGGUGAAAGGCCAAUCAAAUUCCGUGAUAGYUGGUUCUCUCCGAAAUGCAUUUAGGUGCAGCGUCGGGGAUUACGUCCGGGGGGUAGAGCUACUGGAUGCUUGAGGGCCCGUAUCGGGUACCGACAGCAGCCAAACUCCGAAUACCCGUGACGCGUAUCCCGGCAGUGAGUCGGCGGGGGAUAAGCUCCGUCGUCGAAAGGGAGACAGCCCAGAUCGUCGUCUAAGGUCCCCAAGCGCGUGCUAAGUGGGAAAGGAUGUGGAGUCGCAUAGACKGCCRGGAGGUUGGCUCAGAAGCAGCCACCCUUGAAAGAGUGCGUAACAGCUCACUGGUCUAGUGGUUCCGCGCCGACAAUGUAGCGGGGCUCAAGCACGCCACCGAAGACGCGGCAGCGUCCGUUUGGAUGCUGGGUAGGAGAGCGUCCCCAUCGGGGCGAAGCGGCGGCGCAAGCCUGCCGUGGACCGUUGGGGAGUGAGAAUGCAGACAUGAGUAGCGAGAGGCGGGUGCGAAUCCCGCCCGCUGGAUGACCAAGGGUUCCGGGGCCACGUUCGUCGUCCCCGGGUGAGUCGGGUCCUAAGGCGAGGCCGACAGGCGUAGUCGAAUGGAUGAACGGGCUGAUAUUCCCGUACCGGCAGCGAACCGAAACAACCGAGGCCUGGGGCGCUAACCUCCGGGUCCGUGCCGUCUCCCCUUUCGGGGGGUCGCGGCGCGGGCGCGUUGGGAUCCCCCCUCGUAGUAGGUCAGCGCAGGAGUGACGCAUCAGGGCAGCCGGCCGCGGAGGUGGUUUUCCGUGGUCAAGCGUUCGAGCCCGUCCCGCAGGCAAAUCCGCGGGGCAUCGGGGCGAGGCGUGAUGAUGGGGGCCUUACGGCCCGAAUCCGGUGAUCCGUGGUGCCGAGAAAAGCUUCGGCGUCAGGCGCGUUGCCGCCCGUACCCCAAACCGACACUGGUGGUCAGGUAGAGAAUACCAAAGCGAUCGAGCGAAUCCUGGUCAAGGAACUCGGCAAAUUGCUCCCGUGCCUUCGGCAUAAGGGAGACCCCCUGCGGUGAUGAGCGGCGGGGGGUGGCACAGGCCAGGGGGUAGCGACUGUUUACCAAAAACACAGGAGCGUGCGAAGGCGCAAGCCGCUGUAUACGCUCUGACGCCUGCCCGGUGCCGGAAGGUUAAGAGGAUCCGUCAGCUUUCUGCGAAGCGGUGAAUUCAAGCCCCGGUAAACGGCGGUGGUAACUAUAACCAUCCUAAGGUAGCGAAAUUCCUUGUCGGGUAAGUUCCGACCUGCACGAAUGGCGUAACGACUUCCCCACUGUCUCGACCAGGAGCUCGGCGAAAUUGCAGUACGAGUAAAGAUGCUCGUUAAGCGCAGAAGGACGAAAAGACCCCGGGACCUUUACUAUACCUUGGUAUUGGCAUUAGGCGCGGAUUGUGUAGCAUAGGCGGGAGGCUUCGAGGCGGGUGCGCCAGCAUCCGCGGAGCCGCAAGGUGAAAUACCGCUCUGUUCUCGUUUGAUGUCUAACCUCGAACAGUCAUCCUGUUCAGGGACAGUGCCUGGCGGGUAGUUCAACUGGGGCGGUUGCCUCCCAAAGAGUAACGGAGGCGCUCAAAGGUCCGCUCGGCCCGGUUGGCAAUCGGGUGUCGAGUGUAAUCGCACAAGCGGGCUUGACUGCGAGAUCGACGGAUCGAGCAGGGACGAAAGUCGGAGAUAGUGAUCCGGUGCCGGCGCACGGGCGCGGCAUCGCUCAACGGAUAAAAGGUACCCCGGGGAUAACAGGCUGAUCAUUCCCAAGAGUCCAUAUCGACGGGAUGGUUUGGCACCUCGAUGUCGGCUCGUCGCAUCCUGGGGCUGGAGCAGGUCCCAAGGGUUCGGCUGUUCGCCGAUCAAAGCGGCACGCGAGCUGGGUUCAGAACGUCGUGAGACAGUUUGGUCUCUAUCCUCUGCGCUCGUUGGAAUCUUGAGGAGGCCUGCCCAUAGUA